Molecule: small nuclear RNA, 102 nt
Organism: Monodelphis domestica (gray short-tailed opossum)
Lineage: Eukaryota; Metazoa; Chordata; Mammalia; Didelphimorphia; Didelphidae
Source: RefSeq, a predicted model, not a curated record
GUGCUUGUUUUGGCAGCACAUACACUAAAACUGGAAUGAUUCAGAGAAAAUUAGCAAGGCCCCUGCACAAGGAUGCACAUUUGUGAAGUGUUCCAUAUUCUU